UACGAAGGGGGCUAGCGUUGUUCGGAAUCACUGGGCGUAAAGCGCGCGUAGGCGGAUUGUUAAGUCAGGGGUGAAAGCCCGAGGCUCAACCUCGGAACUGCCCUUGAUACUGGCAAUCUUGAGUCCGGGAGAGGUGAGUGGAACUCCUAGUGUAGAGGUGAAAUUCGUAGAUAUUAGGAAGAACACCAGUGGCGAAGGCGGCUCACUGGCCCGGUACUGACGCUGAUGUGCGAAAGCGUGGGGAGCAAACAGG
RNAcentral lists this unclassified non-coding RNA (253 nucleotides) under uncultured Alphaproteobacteria bacterium. Its description in RNAcentral is "contains 16S-23S intergenic spacer region". It matches the Rfam family "Bacterial small subunit ribosomal RNA", at positions 524 to 776 of the family's 1533-position model. Lineage: Bacteria; Pseudomonadati; Pseudomonadota; Alphaproteobacteria. The record is from RNAcentral.